This 29-nucleotide non-coding RNA is filed under the name Rattus norvegicus (Norway rat). The record is from RNAcentral. Lineage: Eukaryota; Metazoa; Chordata; Mammalia; Rodentia; Muridae.
GUACAAAGCAGCACUGUGCUAUUGGGGAA